UACGAAAGGUGCAAGCGUUGUUCGGAAUCAUUGGGCGUAAAGCGCACGUAGGCGGGAAUAUAUGUCGAUUGUGAAAGCCCAGGGCUCAACCUUGGAAUUGCAGUCGAAACUGUAUUUCUUGAAUACUUGAGAGGGUGGGGGAAUUCCUGGUGAAGCAGUGAAAUGCGUAGAUAUCAGGAGGAACACCGGAGGCGAAGGCGCCUGCCUGGCAAGAUAUUGACGCUGAGGUGCGAAAGCGUGGGGAGCAAACAGG
This 253-nucleotide unclassified non-coding RNA is filed under the name uncultured Oligoflexaceae bacterium. Its description in RNAcentral is "contains 16S-23S intergenic spacer region". It matches the Rfam family "Bacterial small subunit ribosomal RNA", at positions 524 to 776 of the family's 1533-position model. Lineage: Bacteria; Pseudomonadati; Bdellovibrionota; Oligoflexia; Oligoflexales; Oligoflexaceae. The record is from RNAcentral.